RNAcentral lists this long non-coding RNA (3087 nucleotides) under Fragaria vesca (wild strawberry). RNAcentral's name for it is "long non-coding RNA (FVES_LNC002787)". The record is from RNAcentral. Lineage: Eukaryota; Viridiplantae; Streptophyta; Magnoliopsida; Rosales; Rosaceae.
AUCAAGUUGGUCGGCCAACUAUAUCUACUCUAAUAAACUUGCUCAAUGUAGUGAUUGAUACGAGCUAGCUCAUCGUCUCGAGCUAGCUUAGGAAUGCAUGGAGCUAGUAUGUAUUGAUUUUUAUAGGUGUUUUUAAGAAAAAUAAUUAGAGAUUUGUUUUGGAGUGAAAAUAUAUAUAACAAAAGUUCAGCAUAUAUAAGCAUAUAUUUUGAACUUGUAUCAACAUCCAUGUAUAUAUGCUUUUAUAGCUCUCUAGCUAGUCCUUCUUGAAUUUGAUUGGCUUUUUAAGCUAUAUACUAAACAUUAGUUUCGGUAUUUAAGUUCUGUAUGUCACCCACCGCGACACUAUGCUCUCGAUUAGGGUUGGCAUAGGAUCAUAUAGAAGAUAGCAUGCUCGUCGUGUGCCUUUGGUAUCUUCUCAAUUAUAAACAUAUGUUAUCUAGACACUAUGCUCUCUAGAUAACAUAUGUUUAUCCACAUCUUCCCCUACACCUCGGCCUAGCUCCAAGUCAAGUCAUCCCUUGAAACUCACUCUCAUGCUUGAUUCUCAUUUAUUUCUCAAGUCUCUUACUACUCUCAACUUUUCUCUGCAUCCAUCUUUCACCAAAAUAGAUCAAGCAAACUUACCUAAUUAAGCUAAUCCAGAUUAUGUAAUCAUAGAAGGGGCCAGUUAUUGAUUGGACGUGUCUGUCGUGUAUGAAGAGGACGGUUUGUCCUCUAAUCUUGCAUUUCCUGUCAUAUACAGGAAAAUUACCCUGUUUUAUUAUAACAAACCAAACCCUGAAAACGAUUUCCAUAUUUUCUAGUCCUGUGGUCUGGACCACCAGUACAGAAUUGAUCAUUGUACCAAUUAAGCAUGGGUAUUUUCUAGGAAAUUAAUAUGCCAACCAGCCGCUACUGGUUGGCAAAUCCGGAUCCUAUUUUCUACGUGGAUGCUUACUGUGCAAGUUACACGCGGACCCUUUAAAACCCAGUUAGCCGAUUUGGCACCAUCAACUCUUGGGUCCCGGCCGGAGCAUCUUUGAUCUUUCUCACUUCAACUAUUUAGGUCUUCUAGCUGGGUAUGGUUUGCUUGGUAUUAUUUUUAUUUUCUUGGAUAAUUAUCUGGUUUGCUCGGUGCAUGUACCAUUUGAGCUAAGAGGGUCUGUGAUUUUGCAGAAAUUGAUUUGGAGGGUGUGGCUUUCACGUGAAGUUUUGGUAUCCAGCAACAUGCAUGUCGACCAUCUCUCUGGUCCAUAUCAUUUUGCAUGACUUGGUCUUUGAUUCUUGGCCGCGUGUUUUGUAUACGAGGAUGCACAGUGUGUACCCAGCUUUAGCACCAAGCAAAGUGACAACCUCUCCACCCAGAAAACUAUGAGAAUGAUUGAGAUGCAUGAUGAUAAUAUACCCAGCAAGAACAUGCACAUAAAAUAUCAGCUCCCACACACCACUAGUCCAAAACAUGAGAGCGAAAUCUGGUUUCCUCAGUUUGCUACUCUCAUUGUUUCUUUUACCGACUAAACUACUCGAUCUCAUUGUUUAUGAACAUGCAUGAUGUAACUUCUGUGUAUGCAGUAGUACGUACGUAGCUUAGGGUUAUUGUAUAGUCCAAGUUGUAGUAUCUGAUUAAUAUUCGAGUGUUCGUAGCUAGAUCUGAGCAUACAACAACCUCAAACACAGUGAAACUUGUAGAUGUUAAUAUUUAGAGCAGUGUCUGUGUUCUUCUACCUAAACUGUCCUGGUCUGGUCCUUGAUUCAAUUCGCAGCUGCUUUUGCUCGCACUUUUAACCAAUGAGCCUGCUGAAUCUUCAAGCUUAUUAGCUUUUUUUGGUCAACUUCAAGCUUAUUAGUUGCCAAUACUAAAUGCAGUUGUAGGAUUAUGAUGCAUGGUUGAAUCCCAUCAAUGCUCUCUUGGACUGUGAAUAAUGCAGACCGUGAUUAGGUAAAAUUCUUACCUAAAUCUGUGCUUACUAUGCUUGUUGACAAGAUAAGGAUCUUACACACAGGACAUAAGAUGAUGAAGUUGUGAAACAACAUUACUUGCCGACAUUGGUUAUCCUUUGUUGGCUAGCUCUACCGACUCCAUUUGGUUCCAGAUUAAAUAUUAAGUGUGCUUAGAACUGAGCAUGCAACAACCUUAAACCACAGGAUGGAACUUAUUAUUGUUAAACAAAACCUGUACGUACUUAAGAGUUGGGAUUGGCCUGAAGAUCAUCAAGGUGAUUAAACUAAUGAUAGAAGAACAAGAGAGACGUACACAGAUACUGUAAAGAAAAUACAGCGUGAUAUGCAGAGAUGUGGGGAGAAAGGAGAAGAUAAUAUAAACAUAUAUUGGUGUGUAUAAAUAAGUGGAUGGCCCUUCAUGGGAUGAAAGAGGCUCAAAUAAUUUAAGGGAUUCACAUAUUGUUGGCUGCGGGAGCCAGUAGUAAAUGGGGAAUACAUAGAAAUGGACCCAAAACAUGUUUCAUGAUUUCUCAGCACUACCAGUUUCACGUACUGCUGCCCCAAUUGUCUCUGCUUCCUCUGCCACUCUGCACAUGAUCACCAGACUCAUCUAAUCUGCACACACACAUGUAACAUAUACUUAUGACACUGAAUAUCAAUAUGAUUGCUGUUACAUAUAUUUAUGUAUGAAUUGAAUUCAGAGAGGCAGUGCCAGACUGCCAGGGUGCCUCUAAACAAAGACCAGCCUGUUUCUUCUUCUAGCAUUUUCUUCUUGCUUUUCUUGGGGUCACCAAUAUCCAAGGCACUUGUGUAUUCUUAAAAAAGGGUUCCCAUAACAUGUGCCCAUUUGGUGAUUAGUCACUAGGGUUUAACCAAACUAAUCAUCUUUUCCAUAUUUGUGUAUCUAAUUAUGGUUCAGAUUUUCAGGUGUGCAUACACAUUGGGAAAUAUGUUACAACCACUUUAAGUGAGGAACAAGCAUUUGUGAGAGUUAGUAGAGGCAGAUAGAAAGGAGGCAGCAGCUGCAUGUUUUGGUUUUCUUGAAUGAUAAUGUGAUGAGAGCAAUCAUUUUUCAGGUUUGUCAAGGGCCCUCAAUCUCAUGCAAUUCUAUUCUACAAGCUUAUAGCCCAUGCUGCUCUUCUGCCAAUGUCCGAGUAAAAUUCU